Molecule: ribosomal RNA, 429 nt
Filed under: Bacteroidota bacterium
Lineage: Bacteria; Pseudomonadati; Bacteroidota
Description: Bacteroidetes bacterium partial 16S ribosomal RNA
Rfam family: Bacterial small subunit ribosomal RNA
Source: RNAcentral
UAGGGAAUCUUCCGCAAUGGACGCAAGUCUGACGGAGCAACGCCGCGUGAGUGAAGAAGGAUUUCGGUUCGUAAAACUCUGUUGUUAGAGAAGAACAGCGCAUAGAGUAACUGUUAUGCGUGUGACGGUAUCUAACCAGAAAGCCACGGCUAACUACGUGCCAGCAGCCGCGGUAAUACGUAGGUGGCAAGCGUUGUCCGGAUUUAUUGGGCGUAAAGCGAGCGCAGGCGGUCAAUUAAGUCUGAUGUGAAAGCCCCCGGCUCAACCGGGGAGGGUCAUUGGAAACUGGUUUACUUGAGUGCAGAAGAGGAGAGUGGAAUUCCAUGUGUAGCGGUGAAAUGCGUAGAUAUAUGGAGGAACACCAGUGGCGAAGGCGACUCUCUGGUCUGUAACUGACGCUGAGGUUCGAAAGCGUGGGUAGCAAACAGG